RNAcentral lists this ribosomal RNA (216 nucleotides) under Escherichia coli. RNAcentral's name for it is "partial 16S ribosomal RNA". It matches the Rfam family "Bacterial small subunit ribosomal RNA", at positions 1 to 214 of the family's 1533-position model. The record is from RNAcentral. Lineage: Bacteria; Pseudomonadati; Pseudomonadota; Gammaproteobacteria; Enterobacterales; Enterobacteriaceae.
UUAAAUUGAAGAGUUUGAUCAUGGCUCAGAUUGAACGCUGGCGGCAGGCCUAACACAUGCAAGUCGAACGGUAACAGGAAGCAGCUUGCUGCUUUGCUGACGAGUGGCGGACGGGUGAGUAAUGUCUGGGAAACUGCCUGAUGGAGGGGGAUAACUACUGGAAACGGUAGCUAAUACCGCAUAACGUCGCAAGACCAAAGAGGGGGACCUUAGGGC